RNAcentral lists this ribosomal RNA (859 nucleotides) under uncultured bacterium. Its description in RNAcentral is "bacterial SSU rRNA". It matches the Rfam family "Bacterial small subunit ribosomal RNA", at positions 26 to 896 of the family's 1533-position model. The record is from RNAcentral.
AGAGUGAACGCUGGCGGCGUGCUUAACACAUGCAAGUCGAACGAGAACGGGUCAUAGCUUGCUAUGAUUGUCAGCUAAGUGGCGCACGGGUGAGUAAUAUAUAGUUAAUCUGCCCUAGAGAGAGGGAUAACAGUUGGAAACGGCUGCUAACACCUUAUAUGCCUUUAAGACAUAAGUCUGCAAGGGAAACAUUUAUGGCUCUAGGAUGAGACUGUACGGUAUCAGCUAGUUGGUGAGGUAAUGGCUCACCAAGGCAAUGACACCUAACUGGUUUGAGAGGAUGAUCAGUCACACUGGAACUGAGACACGGUCCAGACUCCUACGGGAGGCAGCAGUGGGGAAUAUUGCACAAUGGACGAAAGUCUGAUGCAGCAACGCCGCGUGGAGGAUGACACAUUUCGGUGCGUAAACUCCUUUUAUAUGGGAAGAUAAUGACGGUACCAUAUGAAUAAGCACCGGCUAACUCCGUGCCAGCAGCCGCGGUAAUACGGAGGGUGCAAGCGUUACUCGGAAUCACUGGGCGUAAAGAGCAUGUAGGCGGGUAGUUAAGUCAGAAGUGAAAUCCAAUAGCUCAACUAUUGAACUGCUUUUGAAACUGAUUACCUAGAAUAUGGGAGAGGUAGAUGGAAUUUCUGGUGUAGGGGUAAAAUCCGUAGAGAUCAGAAGGAAUACCGAUUGCGAAGGCGAUCUACUGGAACAUUAUUGACGCUGAGAUGCGAAAGCGUGGGGAGCAAACAGGAUUAGAUACCCUGGUAGUCCACGCCCUAAACGAUGCACACUAGUUGUUGCUAUGCUAGACAUAGCAGUAAUGCAGUUAACACAUUAAGUGUGCCGCCUGGGGAGUACGGUCGCAAGAUUA